Molecule: long non-coding RNA, 773 nt
Organism: Rhodamnia argentea
Lineage: Eukaryota; Viridiplantae; Streptophyta; Magnoliopsida; Myrtales; Myrtaceae
Exons: 2
Source: RefSeq, a predicted model, not a curated record
UUGGUCUUUGGUUAGUUCUCAAAGCAUAUGUCGUUCAUCAUACAUGCAAACUAUCGGCUCUCUUGGAUGUUGAUUGAGAUGAUACAUCGUAAACAUAUUUACCAUCUAAAUAUUAAUCAAUUUAAAUGAAUCCUUACCUAACAGGGGGGGAAGGGAUGGAUCAAAGAACGCUUAUUUACGGACUUCACCGAAAGUCAUCACUUAUAUUGGAGGGACAGAGAAGGAAGGGAUAGAUCAAAUAUAAGGCAAAAAAAAAAACACACAAUGUCGCAAAUAUUUAGCUCUUUGUUGUAUCUCUUCUUUCCCUUAUCUUUUUUGGAGUUGGGACAAAUAAAAACAUGCUUUAUUAUAUGCUUUGCAAUGCAUAGGCAAGGCAUCACCAUAUGUAAGGCUUGAUAAUAAGUCCAUGUCCAAGAUCAAUAGAUAAAUGUAAAUAAAAUCCCUAGCCUUAUAUUAAUUGAUUUAUUUUUGUUGGAGAAGGAGUUCAAAGAUGAGAAUAACGAAAAAGGCAAAUGCAGAAUGGCCAUGUUUUCCUCCAAUCAAUCUUUUGAUGGGUGAGCUACACACUGAAUAUCACACACAUUUCAAAUUAGUUAGUUUGCGUGUGAGAAAUGUCCAUGAUUGAGAGGGGUUAAUAGAUUGUAAGGAAUUUCGAAGCUUUUUCGCUAAUAACUGUUGGAUUGCAUGUGGAACGCACGUUAGCGUUGAUGCUGUAAAAACACUAAUGUGUAUACAGAAAUAAUAAUCUUCUAACAAAGGAGAUUAAGGGAUAG